This 248-nucleotide long non-coding RNA is filed under the name Linum usitatissimum (flax). RNAcentral's name for it is "long non-coding RNA (LUSI_LNC003071)". The record is from RNAcentral. Lineage: Eukaryota; Viridiplantae; Streptophyta; Magnoliopsida; Malpighiales; Linaceae.
UACAAAACGGAAACCAAACACAAUGUAAGUUUGAAUCAACAAAGAAAACAGUAAUGAGCUUAGUGAGUCGUGCACCUUCGUGGUGGGUAGAGGACUCGAUCUCGGGCCUUGGACAUACUGAUAACAGCACCAUGAGUGAUUGAUGAGCUCCUUGUGCGACCGAAACUGAUCCGAAAUCCAAGUUUUUGAAAGAACCAUCGUUUCGGAAGCUCUGUCAUCAAUGUAGCGAGUCCACUUGUGGCUUCGAC